CCUACGGGGGGCAGCAGUGAGGAAUAUUGGUCAAUGGGCUUACGCCUGAACCAGCCAAGUCGCGUGAGGGAAGACUGCCCUAUGGGUUGUAAACCUCUUUUGUCAGGGAGCAACGCCGGCUACGUGUAGCCGGACUGAGAGUACCUGAAGAAAAAGCAUCGGCUAACUCCGUGCCAGCAGCCGCGGUAAUACGGAGGAUGCGAGCGUUAUCCGGGUUUAUUGGGUUUAAAGGGUGCGUAGGCGGAAUGCCAAGUCAGCGGUAAAAUCGCGGGGCUCAACCUCGCUCCGCCGUUGAAACUGGCGUGCUUGAGUGGGCGGGAAGGAUGCGGAAUGCGUGGUGUAGCGGUGAAAUGCAUAGAUAUGACGAAGAACCCCGAUUGCGAAGGCAGCAUACCGGCGCGCAACUGACGCUGAAGCACGAAAGCGUGGGUAUCGAACAGGAUUAGAUACCCCGGUAGUC
This 460-nucleotide ribosomal RNA is filed under the name uncultured bacterium. Its description in RNAcentral is "partial 16S ribosomal RNA". It matches the Rfam family "Bacterial small subunit ribosomal RNA", at positions 338 to 795 of the family's 1533-position model. The record is from RNAcentral.